RNAcentral lists this long non-coding RNA (1229 nucleotides) under Homo sapiens (human). RNAcentral describes it as "HSALNT0311917". The record is from RNAcentral. Lineage: Eukaryota; Metazoa; Chordata; Mammalia; Primates; Hominidae.
GCAAGGAGAGGCUACUGAAUUGAAUACUCCAGUGAUUUCUGAAAACAUCAUUUCAGGGAGGGGCAAAGGCCCUGAUCAGGAAGUGAAGACAACAUGACUGUGGAGAAGAGAGCCGGGAAGGGAAGAAGCUCAAUAAUGAGUGCAUUCUAGGCCAGCUUCCCCAGUGAGAGCAUCAAGGUUGAUGGAAGAACAUGAGGGGAAGUGGCAUGAGAGCAAGCCCGUGCUCUCCUCUACAGAGACAGAAGCCAGACAUGCCUUUUCCAUGUGCUGAUCUCCAAGUCCCAGCUAGUAGGUCACAUGACAUCACAGUCCUGCUCUUCCUCAAUGGGACUAAGGGCUGAGGGAUCAGUGAGUGCAGAGGUGCCAGCCCAUUUCCACUCCUCCUUAGCGCCAGAAAACCCUGACUGUGACAGCCAUCCCUGAGCCUGCUGGCCAGCUCCCUAGCGGGACAACAUUGAAAGGGAAAGGAGAUCCUCACAAACGAUUACAUGUAAACGUGAGAGGCACCCAGUUUGGAUUCCAGACCAGAAGAAAUCCAGGAAUGGAUUUAAAAAGGAAAGCUGGUUCCCAUCUCCCUGGAGAAUUUAUCUUUAUUAAAGGAGUCAAGAAACCAUGCUGGGGAACCCCACACAGCACAGAACUAUGAGGCAGACUGUAGGAUCUGAUGACAGCCAGAAAGAAGCCCUCAUCCUAGUUGCAAGAAACUGAAUUCUGCCAACAACCUAAGUGAGCUUAGAAAUAAAUCCUUAUCCAUUCAAGCCUCAAGUAAGACCACAACCCCAGCCAAAGCCUUGAUUGACAUCAUGUGAGACUCUAAGCAGAGGACCCGGUUAAGCCAUGAUUGAACUCCUGACCCACCGAAACUGUGAGAUGAUAAGUCACCUGUAGCAAGAAGUGGGAUGUUCUGGAUUGGAAGAGAAACAGCAAAAUGUUAGCAAAACAGUUUAAAGGAAAAGCUGUAAGAGAAGAUGAAAACAGCUUACAAUGAUCCAAAGGGAGGCAUUAAGGCAAAGAGGAAAUGUUAAUGCAGGCUAAAGACAAGUCUGGGAAGAAAAUGAAAAAAUUCCCCUAAUGGGUGAUUCAAAAACAAUCAUAAGAAUAAUAAUAGUUGAAAAAAACACUAGUAGAAUUAAGCAAGAAUACUGAAGAUAAUUUAUUAACAUAUUGGCCUGGCACAGUGGCUCACACCUGUAAUUCCAGCAUUUUGGGAGGCCAAGGCAGAAGCUCAC